CAGUGUGUGACCUGAGGCUCAACUCACCUCUCGCAAUAUGAGGUGAUUUUUUUGAAAAACAGAGACUAAAGAUACCUCAGCGUAUGACCCGAGGCUCAACUCACCUCUCGCAAUAUGAGUUGAAUUUUGAAAAAACAGAAAUUGAAAAUACCUCGGCGUGUCUCAAGGCUCAACUCACCUCUCGUAAUAUGAGUUGAUUUUUGAAACAUAAAUUGAAAAACAGAAAUUGAAAAUACCUUAGCAUGUGAGUCGAGGCUCAACUCACCUCUCGCAAUAUGAGUUGAUUUUUUUGAUGAACAGAAAUUAAAAUUACCUCAGCGUGUCCUGAGGCUCAACUCACCUCUCGCAAUAUGAGUUGAUUUUUUUGAAAGACAGAAAUUAAAAAUACCUCAACGUGUCUUGAGGCUCAACUCACCUCUCGCAAUAUGAGUUGAUUUUUGAAAUAGAAAUAAAAACAUCAAAAUACCAAAACAUGUCAUUUGGUGGAACUCAGGUGUUUUUUCCUUUGAUUUAGUACAGCUAUUAUCACAUCCUCUUGCUCUACUGGAGUACCUGUAUAUGUCAUGCAUGAUGUUAUCAUGAUAUGCACAUGUUUGUCUUAAAUGCUUUUAUGCCUACAUGAUUAUGCUAUGCGCCUUAAGCAUGUUUGUCGUAUGUCCUUUUUUGUUACGAUUUUUGUGAUGAUCUGCGUUCAUUACUUUGGCUCUUGACUUUCUCUUUAGGCCCUGUACCCGUCCUCAAGCUUCACGAGUAAUCAACAUUUCUCAGAUAUCACUCUUUUUCCCCUGGUUAAACUUUGUCCUUAUUUUGAGACUCUUGUACUUAUCAAAUUCUUAUCCGGGUAAUGCUCAACAUUUCUUUUGUCUAGAGUAUGUCAUUUCACUAUUUAUCAUUUAAAUAAACCACAUAAUGAGAUGCAUAAAAAUGGUCAGGUAGGGACAACAGGGGUACCUCACAUUUAUUUAUUUCAAAUAUAACAAACAAAGAAAGUUAACCAAUGAUAUUAAAAAAAGUGUCAUAAAGAGAAAAGAGAUCGCAUUCAACAGAUACAAAUGCUCUAGAUAUUCAAUGCAUGAACUCUUCCACGUUUCUUAAUCAAGAAUCCUUUCAAGUGUGGCUUCUUGUGUAGAGGAUUUCGAGCUUUCAGAAAUGCUUCAAAUACUGGAGACCCAUAUUAAUUUUUAUUUGGUCCAAAAAUAUUUUAUCAUUUCUGUAUUCGCAAUUCAAUAUAGAUGGGUAUUUCAUAACAUAUAUAUGUCCCUCUUACUCUCAGUUUUCUCAGGCAAUUUGGUGGAAUACUCGAAGGGUCGAUUCUUUUUUUCGUCUUAGCUUCUGUCUUUAUGAAUGAAAACAAAAGAAAGGAGUCUCUCAUUAUGAUCUGGAUUUCAUUUCUAUGGGUUGCAUCUUUUUUUCUUUAAUUUCAUUUUUAUUCUUAUCCUUUUAUUAGACUAUCCUAUAUAACCAUAAUAACUAAAAAAAUAAAAAUGAAAAUUGAAUUUAUUCAUUAUUAAAAAUGAAAAUGAAAUUCAUUAUUUUUUUUUAUAGUAUAAUAGCUAGAACUAAUUAUUUAUAUUUACCGUCUUGCUCUUUAAGCCCGGGUUUACUCCAUUAAGAAGCCCUUUUGGGUUUUCAUCCUAAUCUUUUGUGUUAAUCAAGACGCUUUUUUCGGGUUUUCACCUUGAUCUCACUUUUUUUAGGCAUAAUAUUUCUUUACAGCAUCUGAGUUAACUAGGUUAGGUAACUCUUUCUCAUCCAUCUCAGUGAGAAUCAAAGCUCCACCCGAGAAUGCCUUCUUUACGACGUAUGGUCUUUCCCAAUUUGGUGCCCAUUUUCCUUGCAGGUUUUUUUGUAUUGGGAGAAUCUUUUUCAGCACGAGUUCCCCUUCGUGGAAUUCUCUUGGCUGUACUUUCUUGUCAUGGGCCGCGAUCAUUCUCUUCUGGUACAUCUGUCCGUGACAAAUUGCCUUUAGACGUUUUUCCUCGAUGAGGUUCAACUGGUCAUAUCGAGCUCGAACCCAUUCUGCUUCCUCUAGUUUCGACUCCAUUAAGACUCGUAGAGAGGGGAUCUCAACUUCGAUAGGUAGCACAGCUUCCAUUCCAUAGACCAGAGAGAAAGGAGUUGCUCCCGUAGAUGUCCGCACAGAUGUGCGAUAUGCAUACAAAGCAAAUGGUAGCUUUUCGUGCUAGUCUUUAUAAGUAUCGGUAAUUUUCCCAAUAAUCUUUUUAAUAUUCUUGUUGGCCGCUUCAACAGCUCCGUUCAUUUUCAGGCAAUAGGGUGAUGAGUUAUGAUGCUUUAUUUGAAAUUGCUCACACACUUCUUUCAUCAUCUUGUUGUUCAGAUUCAAGGCGUUAUCUGAAAUGAUUCUUUCAGGCAAACCAUAUCGACAAAUGAUUUCUUUUUUCAAAAACCUGCAAACUGUAGUCUUCGUCAUAUUGGCAAACGAAGCGGCUUCUAAACAUUUUGUGAAGUAAUCAAUAACCACAAAAAUAAACCGUUGUCUAUUAGAAGCUUUUGGGGAAAUUGGCCUUAUAACAUCCAUACCCUACAUAGAAAAAGGCCACGGAGAAGUCAUUACAUGAAGGGGCAAAGGGACUACAUGAAUCAUAUCGCCAUAAAUUUGACAUUUGUGGCAUUUUCUUGCAUAACUAAUGUAGUCACUUUCCAUCAUCAGCCAGUAAUAAUCGAGUCUCAUAAUCUUCUUGGCCAUAGUGAAACCAUUUGCAUGUGUCCCACAAAUUCCCUCAUGGACAUCUUCAAGUAUUUUUCUAGCUUCAAUAUCAUCUACGCAUCUCAAGAGCACUUUAUCUUUUCCUCUUUUGUAUAGGAUGUCCCCAUCAAGAAAAAAUCCCACUGACAUUCUUCUGAUUGUUCUUUUAUCAUUCUCAUUUGCUUAUUCGGGAUACUUUUGAUUCUUGACAUAUUCUAAGAUAUCAUGGAACCAUGGCCGUCCAUCUGGCUCUUUCUCAAUGCUGAAACAAUGUGCAGGGACUUCAUAUAUGCUCAUUUGGAGAUGCAUUAUUUCUGUUUCUCUGUUCGCUUUGAACAUUGAGGCCAAAGUGGCCAGGGCAUCAGCCAAUUGGUUUUCUUCUCGUGGGAAGUAAUUAAAAGUUAUUUCUUUGAAUUCUUUAAUCAGCCCUGCCACUAGAUCGCUGUAUUUGACUAAUUUCGAAUCUCUCACUUCCCAAUCUCUACGGAUUUGCUAUAUCACCAACGCUGAGUCCCCUUACACUUCUAAGAUUUUGACUCAAUAGCUGCACGAAGUCCCAUUAUACAGAUCUCAUAUUCUACUAUGUUAUUGGUACAGAAGAAAUUCAACCUGGCAGUGAACGGAUAAUGGUUCCCUUCUGGGGAUACUAAGACUGCUCCAAUCCCAUGCCCCAAUGUAUUCGAUGCACCAUCAAAACUCAUCUUCGAUGACUUCUCUUGGGAUGAAUCAUAUUCUUUUCCCGUAAUGCACAUUAAGUCUUCAUCCGGGAAAUCAAAUCUCAAUGGCUCGUAUUCCUCCGUUGUUCGAGUUGCUAAGAAAUCAACUAUUGCACUCUCUUUUAUUGACUUUUGGCUCACAUAGACGAUGUCGUAUUCUGAUAGUAAGAUCUUCCAUCGUGCCAUUCUUCCUGAGAGGGCAGGUGAUUCCAUCAUGUACUUAAUUGAGUCCAGCUUCAAAAUUAACCAUGUCGUAGGAUACAACAUAUAUUGCCUAAGCCUCCGAACUACCCAAACCAAAGUGCAACAGAAUUUUUCAAUUGAUGAGUACUUUGCCUCAUACUCUGUGAACUUUUUGCUGAGAUAGUAAAUCGCCUUUUCUCUUUUCCCUGACUCAUCGUGUUGCCCCAGUACGCAACCCAUUGAAUUUUCGAACACAGUUAGAUACAAUAUUAACGGUCUUCUUGGAGUUGGAGGUACUAGCACCGAGGGACUAGACAAAUACUAUUUUAUCUUGUCAAAAGCCACUUGGCACUCUUCGUUCCAUUCUCCCAGAUUAUGUUUUCAAAGGAAUCGUAAAAUUGGGUCACACUGGUUGGUAAAUUGAGCAAUGAACCGAGCGAUGUAGUUCACCUCCCUAAAAAUCCUCUGACUUCUUUUUGCGUGCGCGGAGGUGGCAGUUCUUGUAUGGCUUUUAUCUUAUCUAGAUCAACUUCAAUGCCUCUCUCGCUGACGAUGAAGCCUAGCAAUUUUCCUGAGGUUGCCCCAAACGUGCACUUGGUUGGAUUAAGCUUCAGCUGGAACUUUCUCAGUCUCUCGAACAACUUCUUGAGGUUCUCAACAUGCUCUCUUUCCCCUUUGGAUUUAGCGAUCAUAUCAUUGACGUAGACUUCUAUUUCUUUGUGCAUCAUGUCAUGAAACAACAUCACCAUGGCCCUCUGAUAUGUUGCCCUAGUGUUCUUUAAUCCGACCGACAUCAACUUAUAACAGAAUGUUCCCCACAUCGUUACGAAAGUAGUUUUCUCCAUAUCCUCAGGAGCCAUCUUUAUCUGAUUUUAACCUGAGAAUCCAUCCAUGAACGAAAACAAUGAAUGUUUGGCGGUGUUAUCCACCAAUGUAUCGAUGUGUGGCAAAAGAAAAUUAUCUUUAGGACUUACUCGAUUCAGAUCAUGAUAAUCCAUACACAUUCGCACGUUGCCAUCUUUCUCCGGUACUGGGACUAUGUUAGCUACCCAUUGUGGGUACUUAGAGACUUGUAGGAAGUCGAAUUAUUUCUUGACUUCUUCUUUUAUCUUUAACAGUAUUUCAGGUCUCAUUCGUCUUAGCUUCUGUUGAAUGGGUUUGCAUUCUGGUUUCAGUGGGAGCCUAUAGACCACUACAUCCUUAUCCAAUCCUGGCAUCUCCUGAUAUGACCAUGCAAAUACAACUUUGUACUCAUGAAGCAAAGUGACCAAAUCAUGUUUGGUGUUAUCUGAAAUGGAAGUCCCAAUCUUCACUUCUUGCCUCUUUUCUUCAUUUCUCAAGUUUACUAUCUCAACAGAUUCUUGAUGAGGUAGAAUCUGUUUAUCUUCUUGUUCUACCAUUCUUAGUAAGUCAGGAGAUGAGACAUAGUCUUCAGUAUUUUCCUCAGCUUCAAACUCUCCUAAACAAAUAGCCUUCUCGAAAUCGAUUUCAAGAUUUGUAACGAGUUUGUUCAUAUCGUUGAUAUCCGAGCACUUGAAAGUUGAAUGGAAAAGAAAAAUGUAGAGGAGCAUCAAAGUAUUGGGACCAACAAGCAUGGCAUGAUGUGAGAUAUAUGCAAUGAUAGGCUGUGUGAAGAGGGAAAAAAUUAUGAAUUUAAUGAGAAUGAAAGGACCAUGACAAAAUACAUCUCCAUUAAUGUUCAUUUAAAUGAUAAAGAGCAAACAUAAGCUCUUACAAAAGAAUUCCACUAUUACUUGGGGACACACAAAAUGAAUAGUGUUAACAUUGAGCAUUACUCUGGAAGAGACUUAGAAACUGCAAGGAGAUCCACAACAGUCCAAUUGUUCAAAACGAAUCCAGGAAGACAAGGGCGUAUCAUUGAAACAUCUUUAAUUGCAUCAUUUUUUUUAUCAAUGACAUUUAUACUGACAUUCGAAAGACCCCUUUCAAUUAAUAGUAGCGUGUUUCGUGGAUUAUCUUGCCCGGAGUAUAUCAUUCCUGCAGAUGUAAAUGUUUUUGACAAAGGAAGAUACGUUAUGGGCUCCCAUUCUAAUUCUCGGCCUAAGGCUCUUGCAAUCCGCCUUUCUCAAUCUUUCUAUAACUGUUUUCUUCUUUGUCGCAUAUCUGGCUGGAACCCUAAACCAUAUUGAGCCUUAUGAGGCACGGGUUUUAGAGCUCUAACUAUCCCUUGCUGAUAUCUUCCCAAACCUUUCCUCGCUCGGGCUUCCUUUAUCACAAUCAGUUUAAUUCUCAUCUUGGUAUUCCUUGACAGCUUAGGCAUAGGAAUCUUAUUUCCUUCAGCAACGAACAUAGCAUUGAUGAAUUCAAAGGAACGGAAGGAACAUUCUACUGCAUCCUUGCUUAUUUCAAGGUAUGGUGUAUCCGCAGAGAUAGAUGCAACAAUGUCUUCCUCACCUACGACAGUGACCAAAAGUCCAUCCAUGAUAAACUUCACUUUUUGAUGGAGAGAUGAAGGAACUGCCCCAGCAGAGUGGAUCUAAGGCCUUCCUAAAAGGCAAUUAUACGAAGGUAUGAUGUCCAUGACCUGAAAAUCGAUGUCAUAUAUAUAGGGGCCCACUUCUAGAGGAAUUUUAAUUUUUCCCAUGACUUCUCGUCUUGUCCCAUCGAAUGCUUUUACUAUAGAGUGAUAAGGCCUCAGAUAGGAUAAAUCAAUUGGAAUUCUAGAAAGCGUAGCCAAAGGCAUGACAUUGAGUGCUGACUCGUUAUUAAUGAGCACAUUCGGUAUUAUAUAACUCUUACAACGGGUUGUGAUAUAUAAUGCUUUUACGGAGCCCCUACCAUUUGGCGGUAUUUCAUCAUCACUAAAAGAAAUGAAAUUAUCCGCGUUCAGGUUAUUCACCCACCUAUUAAGCUUUUCGACAGAUAUAUUGCUUGCUACGUAAGCUUGAUUUAACACUUUCAGCAAAGCAUUCCGAUGUGGUUCUGAAUUCAACAGUAGGGAUAAUACUGAGAUUCGUACCGGUUGUUUGCUUAACUAUUUCACGAUGUUAUAUUCACUAUGCUUGAUGAACUUCAAGAAUUCAUGUGCUUCCUCUUCAUUCACAGGCCUUUUAACUUCUUGUUCGGAAGGAGUCUCAAGUUCAACCUCGGCCUCCUGCAUCGGUGCCUUUCCUUUCUGCUUCAAGUCAUUAGUCUUCUUUAUUGGUUCGACCACUUUAGAAUAACACCUCCCGCUACGGGUGAAAUGUCUUACUUUUCCAAUAUUUUCGGUCGUGACUUUGGAUUUUUCACCUUCAGGUAUGAUAAUGUUGACAUCAUAUUUCCAUGGUACUGCCUUGUUGUCUUUGUAAGGGAACAGAGAUGAUAAUUCAAUUAUCAUUUUUGGUUUCACUUGCUCCUUUUUUGCAUCGUAAUAAAUCACCAAUGGUCGAUUGGCGCUAUAAGGGAAACUUCAUGAUUGAUUGUUAGAAGCGCAUACUUCUCCCUCAUCGGCCUCUUUGUUAAAGAUCUCAAUCUCCUUAUUAUCCAUCAUAUCUUGAAGUAACUUUCUAAAUUCCUCACAAGACUGAAUGUCAUGCCCUUCAAUACCAUGGAAGCCAUAAAAACAUUGACUUUUUAUACUUCCUUCUUUAAAAAUUCUGCAGGGGCGACAGAACAGCCCAUUUUCAACCAUCACCUUCCAUAUCUUCUGUAAAGGUGUCUUUAUUUCAGAAACGCAGCUUUUGGUUUGCCACUUGUCUUCCUUGGUCAUUGCGUUCACAUUCCCUUCAGUAUAGUUAGGGAGCGGAUUUCCAAUUCUAUUGCUAGUACCAUUAAAUCGUAAGAUGUCUGCAUCAAUGAGGCCUUGAACCCUCCUUUUAAAUGCCAGACAAUUUUUGUAGAAUGCCCCUGGUUUCCGACGUGGUAUAUGCAACUGGCAUUAGGAUCGUACCAUUUUGGGUAUGGAGGCUUCAAGGGUGCCAUAUAAUGUGGGGAUAUUAAUUAUUUUUCCAACAGUUUUGGGUACAACUCUCCAUAUGACACGGGAAUUGGGGUGAACUGGGGUUUUUCAAGAUUGGAUCUUGUCGGUCUUUGUUCAUUUUUAGGUUGGAUUUGAGCUGGCAUGGUAUUCUGUGGGAACAUAGUGACUAGUCUUUAGUUAUUUGUGGCGUAGACGGGGUAAGAAGGGUAAUGAGGUGGUGCUUGAUAGUAAGGGCUUUGGGGAGGAUAAUAGAAGUUUGGAGGUGGGCGAUAUCGAGGUCGUGACUGGGUUGGAUACGGAUUAGAAGUGUAGUAAUUCUCAGUUCCCACCAUAUAGGCUUCUGCCUCUUUUUUCUUUACAAGUGCUGCCAUUUUCGAGCUCUCGGAACCUUCCAUCUUUCCAGUUUUGAUGGUAUUUUCUAUAAGUUCCCCGGAUAUUACAAUAUCUGCGAAGUCUUUCGUGGCACUUCCUACCAACUUAUCAUAAAACGGUACUUUCAAAGUGUUGAUGAAGAGGACCGUUAUUUCAGUUUUGGUCAAUGGGGGUUCUACUUGGGCCGAGAUAUCCCUCCAUCUUUGCGUGUAUUGCCUAAAAGUCUCCGUUGGCUUCUUUUCCAUCAUCUGCAGAGUUAGUCGAUCAGGCACCAUGUCGGAUACAUACUUGUAUUGUUCACAAAAUGCUAAUGCCAAGUCUUUCCAUGAUUAGAUCCUUUCUCUACUAAGUUGAUUAUACCAUCAAAGGGCUGAUCCGACCAAGCUAUCUUGGAAACAGUGUAUUAGCAAUUUAUCUUCAUUCACGUAACCAGUAAUCUUCCGGCAAAACCUGACAAGGUGUGCCUUUGGACAUUUCGUUCUAUCAUAUUUUUCAAAAUCGAGCACUUUAAAUUUUGGAGGCAGAACCAGAUCGGGCACCAAAUUGAGCUCUUUGGCACUCAAUGCAGAGAAGGCUUCAGUACCUUCUAUCGCUUUAAGUCUUUCUUCCAAACUCCUAUACUUAUCUUGAACAUCAUGAUCAUCUAUUUUCAACCUGGCUAUUUCUAUCGGGUCAUCCAAAUCUGAAACAUUGGGAUCAGCAAGAUUAGCUCCUGGGUUUGAUACGAAUGUACCUUGACCUAGAUGAGUAGGUGGUACAAUUUGUUGCUCGAGGCUUGUAGGUUCCCUUUGAGGAUAUUCUCUUUGCGUUGUGUGUGCAUGAGGUGGAGUGAAUCCUGGGGGAUAGAGUGGAUCCUGAUCAUGAUUAGUUCUUGGCUGAGGCUCCAUAGUGUCAGGGUUCUGUAUAGGUUCCUUUCCUUUGACCAAAGCUGUAAUCAUUUCCAUCAUUUUGGCCAUCUAAUCUCUUUGUUCGAGCGAUUCCUCUCGAGAUCUUAACAUCAAAUCUCUUGCUUCCUGUUGUGACUUGGUCAAUUACUCUUGCAAUUCUCUUUGGGCCCUUUUCAUCCUUUCAAUUCUUUCAUUGAACUAGGCUUCCAUAAAUCUAGCUUUUCGGCGCGUCCUAUAAGAAUGGCGUGAUUUUAGACUUGUAGUGUCACAACUGCGGAUUAUACAGUUUUAGCCACAGUGAAUGAUUAUGGUGAUAUGUACAUGCAAUGAAUGAAUGAAUGAAUGAAUGAAAAAUGAAUAUUGAAUAAAUGACGAAUGAAUGUUAGUCAUGAAUAAAUAUGCAAGAAUUUGGUGUUGAUUUCAAGAUAGCCCCAUACUUAGGCAUUUCAUUUAUCAAAAGAGUCUAUUACAAAACAUUUCGCCAUUUUUUUUAUUCAACAGUUACACAAAUUUCCUAGCCACAUUGCCUUGUUUCUUCCCUCGCUCUAAGAACUCUGACAUGUUUGAUCUUUAGCUCGGAGGGAAUUGGCAACUGAAAGCUUCGGCUUCAUCUGAUAAUUGCACAACUUGCAUAGCUGCCCUGCGAAUUUCAUUGAUCAAAAAGCCGAGUUGCAUUUCUUUUUCUUGGAGAGCUCUUUCAUAAGUGUGAGUGUCUCCGUCAUACUGAUCAUUCUUUUCUUCUAGAGCUUUUAGAAGAGUAUCUAACUAUUGCUGAUGAGAUUGCAGCAUAUUUUCUAGAUCUUGUAUUUUCCUUCUUAGCUUUUGACGUUCGGACUGACUAGUCACAAAUUCUGCAGUCACAGUUUCAUACUCAACAUUCUUCUUUUUUAACUCUAUCAUAGUACGCGCAGCUUUUUCCUCUUCUUUCUUUGCUUUCCCUUUCCAGAAUUCUAUCCCUCCUUUGAUGUUGCUAAUUUCUUCCUUCCAUUCUGCUGACGACUUGCCUAAACCACUAUUUUUUAUAGUGUUUCUUAAUUUCUUAUUUUCCAAAUGAAGGUCCCUUAAGUCGUUUCUCAUGAUCUCAACUUCUUUUUGAACUUUCAUGGUUUUGGAUUCUUCAAUUUGAACCCUGAUCUUCAGCUGGUAGUUUUCCUCUUGAAGAGAACUAAUAUCCCGUAACAGCUUGGCCUUUUCACGUUCAAAUUCAUGUCUUGCUACUUCCAGCUCGGAUGGCAUUUUUUUUAAGAAAGGAUUCUAGAAAGUGUAACUUGUCGGUGAGAUUUGUUGACUAUUCACUCGUCGUUUUCCCCAUAAGCCAUAAUCCUGAGUGAUAGUAUCAGCAUAAAGGGCUAACUCCAUUAGGUGAAUUUCCUUCCAAGACUUUGCAGUAUCUCAAAUUCUUUUCAUGUAGCCUUCACCCGUAAAGGCGAACUCUGAUUGUGCCAAUCCUUCAGUAGCGGGUAUGAACUGUCGUGAAGCAAAUUAUCUUUGAACCAUUAACGGAGUGUAUCCAAUUCCUCCCCAUAAUCCUAGUAAAGACACCCAAUCUUGGCUUCUGCAUUUAUAUAUCAGAAUUGAAGGAAGAAUCCAUGGUGCUCUCCAGGUUAUCUCUUCAGCGCGAAGGUUUUGAAAAACCAAAACCCAGUUCUGCUCGGUGACAUCUUUCGGCCAAUCUUUCUCAAAGUAAGCCUUUAAUGGGGCGAAUGUUUUUUGAGAACAUGUGGAAAGGUGUGUGCUCUACUUUCCAGAAAUGGCUCAGAAUCCAGACAUUAAGCAACUGCGCGCAUCCGAUAAAACGCCCUUCCCCUUUUCUGCUACAACUACUCAGAGAUCUAAAAGUCUCGGCCAAGAUAGUUGGAAUGGGGUUGAUCCCUUGACCCAACCUUUCGAAGAAAUCCACUACCGCGACUUCUACAUGCCCCAAAACCUUUGGGAAGACGACCAAUCCGUAAAUGGCCAAAGCAAACAGAUUCAUUCUCUUCGCAAUAUCUGGAUGAUUUUGAACUAAGUCUCGCAGAGAAAACCAUGGAACACAACUGACUUCAUUCUUUUUCUUUAUCUAUUUUUCAGCCCAUAUAUCAGUCAUUACGGUCAACCUCACUAGCUUUUUCUUGAAGUUCAUUGGCUUAGGCUCUUUCACAUACAUCUUGUUGAAUUGUACAUUGUCAACACGAAGCAAAGCAGCAUAUUCUUCUAUGGUCGGAGUCAUAUCUUCCUGAUUGAAAGUAAAGCACUGGUAAGCUGGGUCCCAAAAUCGAACCAUGGCUUGAAUUAACUGUUCGUCUAUGUUGAUGGUGAUCAAGUGAGCUAUAUCCCCGUACUUUUCAGUGAAAAUCCCCCUAGUAUCUGAGUCUCACUGUUUCCAAAUCUGAGUCAAGUCUUCGAGAUUAUUCUGACGAACAUUUGUAGCUACUUGCUCGGGAAGAUUAGAGAUACAUCCUUCCGUUAAACUAUCCCCUUUCGCUUUCUGAGUCUUCAAAGACCAGUCUCGAACCACGCCAUUUUUCUCGGUUACUUGUGUAAUUGACUCCUCCAUCAGAAACCCGUUUUUGGCAACCAAUCUCUAAUCAACACCUUCCUAAUCAAGAUGCCUAUGAUGCAUGAUGAAAAAUAAAAAUAAAGACAAACAACCUUGGUUAGUAAUCACAACAAAUAUAAACUGAGAAAAACUAUGGAAAUUUCAACAAAUUAAGCUACUCAGUUUAAUUCUUUUGCAUAAACAGUGUAAAUGUAAAGGAAAUGAAAAUCAAGAGGCGUUUCUCCCGCGUACUUAUUUUGGUGACUAUUAAACAGACAAAGGUUCGGCAUGGCUCUAAUUAGGUGGCUCAUAUGGUUCACUAUAUGCGAUUUCGGUUCUAGAUAGGUACUCGAAUUGUCCGUACUGUCAUCUGCUAAGAUUAGUACGAAGCCUCGGUCAUUGCCUAUCACAGGCUUACGAGUUCAGUUCGAGGGAUCACAUUUACUUAUGCCUAUGCGGAGGGACAAGUUAACUCACGAAAGCAUAAGUCAUAUGUAACCCGAAAGUAUUCACUAGCCUGUGCGGAGGGACGAGUUAACUCACGAAGGCAUAGCGUUUACUUUCACUUAAACAGACGGAGCCCAGGUAGAAAGCUUAUGUUAUGCAAAAAUGCAAGUGAUCAGUGUAUGGGGAAAAACUCACAAACCUUUUCGUUUUUAUUUAAAACUAAAAGAAGCUAAAACUAUAAAGACUUAAAGCUGAAAAGAAAAGGAUAAAACAAGUUAGAGAAAAUACUUACAACAUGAUGCAAAUGCAUGAUUUUUUGAAAACAAAAUUUGAGGAUCACGACUAAAUAUUAAUUUGAACAAGGAAAUUUGAAAUUUUUGACAACACGCGUUUAAUUCAACUCGACUCUCAAAAAUAAGUCCCCAGUGGAGUCGCCAGCUGUAGCGACGUAAAAUUUUUUCUUUGGUCGCUAAUUGAGGCGAUUUAUUGAAAAUUUGAAAAUCGACUUUCGAUUUUAUUUAAAAAGGGAGUCACCACCGAUCUUUUUUCCUAGGUGUGAUCGGACACCUAAUAAAUCCUCUUUUUUUAAAAGAAAAUUUAUUUUUUAAACAAAAAGAAGGCCGAGGUUAGGUCUACGCGAAAAUCCAGAGAAAAAAAGGGUUUGGGAGUCGGUUAUGCACGAGGAAGGUAUUAGCACCCUCGCGACGCCCAAAAUUGGUAUCUUGUUAAACAUGUGUUGUCUUAAUUUUCGAAAAUGCGAGUUCAAUGUAACAUUUAAUCAUGAUUCGAUCAAAACACGAAAAUUUUUAUAAUUUCGAUUUCUUUUGACAAGGAUGUUCCGUUUUUAACACGAGACGAUGAUAUUCACCCAACAUAGCGAUGAAAUCAACGACUUAAUGGUAAAUCGGCACGUUGCCUUAUUUAUUGAAAUUAAUAAAAAAUGAAUAAAAUAAUUCUUAAAAUAAAAAUUCAUAAAUAAAUAAACGGUGCAAACAAUGAUAUAAUGAAUGAAAAAUAUUAACAUAUAAUAUAAGAGCAUUAGGAUAAAAAUAAAAACAAUAUUUACAAUAAAAAGAAAAUAAUAAUAAAAAUAAUGAUAUGCUAAUAAUAUAAUAAGAAAAGCAAACUGAUACAGAAUGGUAAGAACAAAACUAAAAGAGUUAGAAAUACAUCGAAGCAAAUAAUAAAUACGACAAUGAUAUUAAAAACAAUAACAAUGCAUGCGAUAUUAAACGUAAUAAUAGUAUUAAACACGAAAUAAAAACAAUGAAUAUAUAUAUACAUAUAAUAAUAGUUAGUAAAGUGAUGGGAACAUGAUAUUAAAAACAAUAAUAAUGUUACCUAUAUACAUAUGUAUAUAUUAAAAUAUAAACAUAAUAAUAGUAUUAAAAAGCAUAUACAUAGUAUUAACAAUAUAUACAUAAUAUAGUUAUUAAAAAAUAUAUACAUAAAACAAUAUGUAAAAAAAAUAUAUAAAUAAUAUAGUAUUAAAAAAUAUACAUGAUAUAUAUAAAAUAUAAUAUUAAAAAGAUAUAUAUACGUAAUAUAUAUAAAAAAUGUAUACAUAAUAUAGUAUUAAAAUAUUUACAUAAUAUAUACAUAUUAGAAAUAAUAAUGUUAAAAACAACUAUCAAUAAUACUACAUAAAUAUAUACAUAUAUAUAUAUUAAAGAUAUAUACAUAUAUAAUAAAACACAUACUAAUAUUAAUAACAAAUAUAAUAGGGGUAAAAAUAGACACAAUAAUAAUAUGUAUAUAACGUGGUAUUAAAAAUAUGUGUAUAAUAUAGUAUUUAAAUAUAUAUACAUAAUAUAUAUAUUAGGAAUAAUAAUAAUAUAAAAAAACAACUAUAAAUAUAUACAUAAUAUAUAUAUAAGUAUUAAUUGAAACUAAAAAAUAAUUCUAAUAAUAGUAAAAAUAUACUAAUAAUAAUGAUAAUAACGAUAAUAGUAAAUAUAAUAAUAAAUAAUAUUAAAAAUAAAAAAUGGUAAAAAUAAUAUAAAAAAACAAAUUAAAUCUGGAAAAGGGACUAAAUUCGAAACAAAAAUAAAGUUUUGGGGCCAAUUUAAAAAGAAAUAAAGGGAAAGAGAUUAAUUUGGAUGCACGCAAAACAAAGGACUAAAAAAGCAAUUAUUCCUCCCCUCAAAACGCAACACAGUAAAAGGGACUAAAUCGCAAAGCGCUAUAUACUUUGGGCCCAAAUUAAAAGCACAAUAAAUCUAAUUGCAAAACCAUAAAAAAGCAGAGGGGCUAAAAGUGCAAUUAGCCCCUCCAAUGAAAAACACGCGGAUCCUUGGUGGAGCGGGUCAAAUCGGGUCGGGUCAGGCAAAACGACGUCAUUUUGGGGUUUAAUGGCCAACCCCAAAACGACGUCGUUUUGGGGGCUAUUUAAAUCCGAUUUCUUUUAAAAAAUUCAUUCUUCUUCUGUUCUAAAAAGAAAUUUCUCUCCUCCUCUCAUUUUCCUCUGCAGAGACCCUCAACGCCGGUGAAGACUCCGGCCAGUCACCACCGUCGGCCACCGAAGGUAAAUUUUUAAAAUUUUUUUAUUAUGUUUAUAUAUAAAUAUGUAUAUACUGUUUUUUUUUAAAAAAAAAGAAAAAAAAUAUAUAUGUAUGUAUAGUCGAAUACUGAAAAUAAAAAAGGAAAAGAGAUGAGACCUUAGCCUUUGGAAUCUGUUUUUUUUUCUCUUCAAUACUUGCUGGAUUUUCUUUGUUUUUUUAAGACUAUUAUGUGCUAAAAAUGAGAUUUAUUGUUUUAUUGCUUCCUCCAAAAAAUCUCACCUCUUUACAUGAUUUUUGAAUGGCCUUUUCAUAGCCAUCCUUUUACAAGUUGUUGUUUUUUUUUUAAUCUUUCUAUCACUUCUGUUGCAGGUGGAUGAGGUCAAUGGUGGCAGAGUUGGUGGUGGCAGGUGGAGCAGGUGGCUGACAAGGCUAGGGCGGCGGCAUGGCAAAGGCAGUGGCAAGGGUUUUCUGAUUUGUUUUGUGUAUUAAGGUUUUGGGUUGGCUUAGUGGACUUAGGGUUUUUAAUUAUUUGGGUAUUUUAAUUUGAGUUAGGGUAGGUUAGUUGGGUUUAUUUUAUUUUAUUCAAAAUUAGGCCUCAACAAUUAUGUUUAUAAUUUGAAUUAUGGUAAUACCACUGAGUAUAAAAUACUCAAUGUACGGUUAUUUCCGUAUGCAAGUUAAUAGGUGUUAAGGGUCUUGGUUCAGCAUCCAGGCGAUCCCGAUUCCAGCGCAAAACUCAAUUAUGUAUUUUUCUUUUGGUAAAAGUGGCAUGUACAUAGGUGUUAUUUUGGUCACUUUAAAAUACUAUAUGAUUUUUGUUGUAAAGAAUGAUAUUUGGUAUUUUGGUGUUUAAACUAAUGAAAUGGUAUGAAAAUUUAUAUGAUAUACAUGAUAUAAUUGGUGUUAAAUUUAGAAUGGAAUGAAUGAAAUUCUAAUUUAAUUUUUAAUGGUAAUAUAAAUGUUCAUAGAGUAAAUUAUCAAAUUAAUGUUAUAGGUAUGAUUUUAAUACGAUUAAACAUGAAAUUGCAUUGGUUGAAAUAUUGGUUUUGAAUUGGUCCCGGAUUGAAAUUGCAGGGAAGGUUAGAUAUUUAUAAAAGGGUUAUAUUGAGUUAAAAAAAAUAUCCUCGUAGCACCCGAACAAGUCCAAAUUCCCCUCUAAUAUGUAUUUUGGGCCUUAAGGGUCCAAUCAAGAGACUUUAUAAUUAUUUUAUAAUAUAAUAUGUUCGAUAAUUAUUUGAAUAUUAAUCGUAAAUUGUUUGAUUGUCCGGUAAUGCCUCGUAACCCUGUUCUAGUGACAGUUUAGGGUUAGAGGGUGUUACAGUCUCACUCAAAGAAUGAUUUUAUUAACCAUUAACAUAAUAGAACUCUUGAAUUAAGUCCAAUUUGCCCUCAGACCAGUAAAUAAUUGCAGCUUCAAAGUUGAUCCCAAUUAUUACAAUCACUCUCCUAAAACCUCAUAAUACAAUCAAUUAAACUCUUCAAAGAAUGUCUGAGAAAAGAGUGUCAAAAUACUGAGUACAUGAUUAACUUUAUGGUAAAUAAAUCUCCUAAAGUAAAUCUGAUCAACAAUUUAUCCUUUAAGAUAUCAAGAAGUUCUGAUCGAAGUAAAACUUUUAAUUCAAGUCAAAAUUGUCACCUCAAUUGGAUAACGAUAAACUCUUUCAAAUAUAGUUUUUGUUUGUUCACAAAAACAUGUCCAAUGUAUCCUCUAUUUGCUACUUAAUUGGAAAUAUUUAUAUCUUAUCCUUGUACAAGUCAAAAUUGCCAACAAAAUAGGAUAUACUUUAUAUGUAUAAAAUCUUUUAUUAAAGAGUCAAUGAAUAGUUGGCUUGGAGGGGCGUAGUUAGGGGCUGGCAGGGUUCUGGCCCCCUUAAAAUGAAAUUUUUUUAUUUAGGCCAUUUAAAAUUUUUAAAUAAAGGUAAAAUUACACUUUGUCCUUCUAAAAAUAAUAAAAUUUGAUUUAACCCUUUAAAAAUUAUAAAUUCUAUUCAAAUGGUGAAAUUACAUUUUUUUUACAAUAUAAUUUCGGCCCCCUAGAAAAAUUUUCUGACUUCGCUCUUGUUUACUUGGACAAUUCGACUUCUUAUUUUAAUUGGAUAGAACUUCUUAUUUUAAUUGGAUAGGAGAAUAUAUAUCAAUUUUAUUUUUAAUAAAAAUGUGGGAUUUUGAGAUUAUGCACUUGAUUUUUUUUUAUAAAUAUUGUUUUAAACCUAAAAUAAAAUUAAAUGAGGCCAUUGUGAUGAUAUCGUAUAAUCAGAUCGCUAGCUAAUGGGAACACCCAUAAUUUGAGGCAAUAUUGUGAGAUAGAAACGGUCUCUCCCUACACUCAAGCUCUUCCUUCCAUGCCUAAUAACUGAAGCUUUCCAUUUGUGACAUGGGACACUACUAUUAUUUCGGGUCACCAGAUGACCAUUUCUUAACCCUUUCCAUGUUCCAACAACCAAGGACCACGACCACUUCAAAAACCUACCCGCCCCCUUACACUCUCUUUUAGCCUUUGCAUCCUUCCUUCAUUUUUGAUUUUUUUUUCAACAAAAUCAAAAACCAAAAGUGGACCAAUAGUUGCAGACACAUCAUGUCUUUCCCAUGGCGUCCUUUGAUUUCAUGACUCUUUUCUUCUGUCUUCUUAUCCACAGACAUUGAUCAUUAUUAUUAUUAUUCUCGUUAGCUGUCUCUCCUCGACAACGCUUUGAUGUUUGGUACUGCAUUUUGAUGUUGUGUUGGAUGAGCAGUUGAUGUCUUUGGCCGUUGGAGCUGGUCCAAGUUCCAGUAAUAUGGAUGACAAAGCGGGCUCUGCUGAAAAAACGACCACCAACCACCGUCCAGAGAGCGAUGAUGAUAACGAAGAGGAGAAUCGCAAUUUGCAUUUGGGUCCUCAGUACACUCUCAAAGAACAGCUUGAAAAAGAUAAGGUUAAAUCUUCUUUUUUUUUUUUUUUUUGGUUUACACACACACAUAUCCAUUACAUUUUACAUGCAUGCAUGAAUGCCUAUAAUUUUACUAUCAUUAUUCUAUGUUGGUGAUCGUUGCGUGAGUGUAGGAUGAUGAGAGCUUAAGGAAAUGGAAAGAACAGCUUCUUGGAGGUGUGGAUAUUAACAACAUUGGAGGUACUUAUUAUGUUUAGUUAGAUUGUGUGUAUAUAUAUAUGAGCUAAUUUUAAAGAAUUUGCAGAAUUUGACAUGGAAAUAAUGGUCUCCAUUUUAUUACAGAAACACUUGAACCGGAAGUGAAGUUCCUUAGUGUGGCAAUCGUGUCACCAGAUAGGGAAGACAUAGUUCUUUCAAUCCCUGCAGAUGGAAAGCCCGAGGGUUUAUGGUUUACACUGAAAGAAGCUAGCCAUUAUCGCUUGAAGUUCUCUUUCCAAGUUAGCAACAACAUUGUAUCUGGUCUCAGGUACACCAACACUGUCUGGAAAACUGGCGUCAAAGGUAAACAUUAAUUCUAAACCCUCUCAAUAAGUAAUAAUAAUUCACCCCCCAAAACUGUUUCCAACAUAAUAAAAUUCAAUCCUUUUCUUUUGGGGUUUCAGUUGACAGCACAAAAGAUAUGAUUGGAACUUUUAGUCCUCAGUUAGAGCCUUAUACACAUGAAAUGCCCGAAGAGACAGCCCCUUCUGGUUUUUUGGCUAGAGGAUCAUACACUGCAAAAUCAAAGGUUUGUAUGAUAACAUACUUUUAUCCGACAUUGAUUAUGUCUAAAUUCGAGUGACAUAGUAUGUUGUAAUGGUUUCAGUUCCUUGAUGAUGAUAACAAGUGCUACUUGGAGAUCAACUAUACAUUUGAUAUCCGAAAAGAUUGGGCUGCUACUGAAUAAUAGAUCAGCUCCAAGAACCCUUCAUUCAAUGCUUCAUGUUCUUAUUAUGCUUAUAUAUAUAUAUAUAUAUUCACUUUCAGACAAUUUUCAAGCAGCUAGUUUUUUCCCAAAAUAAACGCAAGUGAUGAGAGAUGACAAGAUUUUCACUUGAUUAGCAUUUUUUGGUAGGGACAUUUUGAUAAUUAAUGAUGUCUAGAACUUUGGAUGUUGUUCAUGUUCUGUUCUUGCAUUCCAUCUAUGUGCAUAUAUAAGAAAUGAGUGAUCAGUCAUUGAUUUUUUCUUUUUGUCUUGUUUUAUAUCAUCAAACUGCUCUCUCUUUUUUUUUUUAUUACUCAUCAACAUGAUAUACUUCAACCCAAACUAAAUCUCAAUUAAAAUUUCAUUCAAUUAAAAUUUAAAAAUACAAAGAAAACCUACUUUGCCAUUAUCCUAAUAAAAAGAGAUAGGGAUGACGUGGAAUCAUAAUUUCAUACAAUCCAUUCUUUGAUCCCUAUAUAUACUAUCAAGUCAGAUAAAUGUUAUAAUUGAAAUAAAUACAAUAAUUAAUAUCUAUUUAACAUUUAAUUUAUGUUUUUAUUAAAUAAUUCAAUUAGAAAGAAAUCCAUAAAUCACACCCAUCUUGUCAAUUUUUAUGUUAGUAUUUUUUUGAAACAAAAUCUUUAAGGCGUAAAUUUUGUUGAUAUUGCAGAAGUAUGAUAACUCAUAUGAAUGACGAUCUAUUUGAAGCAACAUAUUUUAAAAAUUAGAUUAGAUCGGAUCAAGCAAUCUAAUCCUUUGAAAUAAAGAAUUUAGAUUGGGACUGCAUUGAAGACUUAUAUCGAACAAUUCUAUUUUAUCUUGGAUUUUAUUAAUAUAUUGGGUAUGUUAUUUUAAUUGCAAUUUUUUAAAGAAAAUUUAUUGUAAUUGAUCUACUAUUUUAACAAAUCUCAAAGUCUUAUAUAUUUGAAGAAAUUUGUAUGAGUUUUGUAUUGAAAGUUUAUAACACUUAUUCAUUGAGAAACUUGUUAUGGAAGGUGCAUUGAGAAUAUAAACAAGUUUAUUGUUUGGUUCACAGUUUAAGCUUUCAUGAGAAAACUUUAGAAGUGAGUGAUCUAGAUUUAGAUAUAAAAGUGAAGUUUAUAUAUCAAGCUGUGAUAGGACUUAGAUCCAUGGCGGUUGGUUUCGUUCCGGUACCAAUUGUACCAGUUGAUAUACUAUAUCAAGCUGUGAUAGGUCUUAGAUCCAUGGCGGUUGGUUUCGUUCCGGUACCAGUUGUACCAGUUGAUAUACUCCGUUUCGAACGUAAACUGGAGCAAUAUAAUAUAUGAUUCAUUAUGUCUCAAAGUUUGGCCUAUUUCACCUGUACUGACAUAUUCCGACCUGUUUUGUCUGUUGCGACCGAAAAAGACGAACUGGCUACGGUAAGAGAAAAGAAAAAGAAGGAAGAAGAGAGAAAAGAGAAUAAAAAAAACAAAAUUAAAAUCUCAUAUGGAAAAACAAAACAUCUCGGCAGAUAAGUUUUGGGAUUUUACAAGCUUAAAAAUAAUAUUAAUUUAAUCUACAAAUUUAAUUUAAAUAAGAAUUAUAUUAUCUUUUAAUAUAUAUAUUGAUAAUAACUAAAAUUGUUAAUAAAUGAAUAAAUAAAAUUUAUUUUUAUAAAAAAUAUUAUUUUAUUUAUUAUUAGUAAUAAAUAAUAGUAUGAUACCUUUCAAAAAAUAGUAUUAUAUGAUAUAUUUACUAGUACAUAUAAAAUUAAACUAAUAAUUAUACAAAAAAUAAAGGUAAAUACAGAACGGUAUACCAAAACAUACUGGUAUUAAUAUGUAUCAGUAUCAAUAGAAAAACGGUACAUCUACCAUACGGUACUGACUACCUUUCUUAAACCACUUGUUGUAUUAGGAUUAAAGACAGUGUGUAACACCCCAAACCCGGCCCAGACGUUAUGACCGGAUCCGACAUGCCACAUCGAAGCGUUCAAAACAUUUUAUAUUGUUGAUCCAGAAAAAACUUACUUAGUGUUUUAAAAGAUAAUUUCAUUAUAGGUUAAAGUGAAUGGAAGUUGUGCACCAGGUAGGAAACCGGAAAAGAGGUGGUGAGUCCAUCGGACUGCUUAAGUACCAAGCUCCCUUCGGAUCCAAUCCUAGACAUGCAUACCGCUAUUGCCACACCUUAACGUCAUGGAUAUUUCUAGGAAACUGAUUUUGAUUAAGUCAUUUUUAGGAAAAGUGAUUAAUUUUGGAAAAUACUUUCAUUGCGGAAGCUUUGCUUGUUGUCGUAUUAUUUUGAAAUCAAUUGUUGUUUUUGAAAACGCGCCCUAAAGCUUUCCAACUUCAACAGUUAAAAUAAGUAAUACUUAUCUUAGUAACACAUAUUAACACCAUAAAAAAUAAUUAAGCGGCCUUAUUACAUUUAAAAACCUAAAACUUCAAACGUAAAAAAAAGGAUGUCCAGUUCACCAGAAGAAAAUCAAACUUUCAGAACGGGUGGCCACUCCGAAUUCCCUCACAGCUCCAAGCCCACUAUGGUUGGGGAUUACCUGCGUGGAUGAAAAUAAAAGGGGUGAGUUUGGGGAAACUCAGUGUGUAAGGAAAACCCAUUCAAAACCCAAGUCAGCUCAAGCCCAUUCAGGUAACAGUGAUACUGGGCCAGAGCCCUUUUCAAAUUACAAUAAACUGGGCCUUAGCCCCUUAUUCAGAUAACAGUAUGGCCCAUAGGCCCAUUUCAAAAUACAUGCAACAUCAGUAAACAUAUGCAAGCCCAUUUGGGGAGACUACUCAAUCCACCAACCACUACACUCCACCCAUACCAGCCAUACACUCCAUGUGGGGAAUAGCUCAACCCACCCAGCCCAACACUCCACAGUUGCAGCCUUGCUGCUCAGUUAACAGUAAGUUGAGGCAAAGCCCCUUAUUCAGAUAACAGUAUGGCCCAUAGGCCCAUUUCAAAAUACAUGCAACAUCAGUAAACAUAUGCAAGCCCAUUUGGGGAGACUACUCAACCCACCAACCACUACACUCCACCCAUACCAGCCAUACACUCCAUGUGGGGAAUAGCUCAACCCACCCAGCCCAACACUCCACAGUUGCAGCCUUGCUGCUCAGUUAACAGUAAAUUGAGGCAAAGCCUCCAGUACGUGGACAAGCCAUUUUUAGUACUUCCUCCGUCAAUAUCCCAAUCCCAUGCAUCAGAUAAUAACAACAUGGCAUGCAGUAAAUAACAACAGUCAAACAUGCAUUUAAGUCAAUUUAACCCUAGGGGUAUUUCGGUAAUUUAUCUCCUAGGGGUAAAACUGUAAAUUUUCCACUUUUAAAGGUAUUUCAGUAAUUUAUCUAUUUUAGGGUUUUUCAUGCAUAUUUCUACCUUUCACGUACUACAGAAUCACGUACCGAGGGUUCUUACCAAAUUGGGCCCGUUGGCCCAUCAUUCCAAUUUUGGCCCAUUAAGCCCAAAAAUAUCGAGGGCACAGAAAUCAUGCACUUUGUAGUCCAAAUUUUGCAGCUUACCAAAAACAUUAAUCGAUUUACCUCAGGAGCAUUCGCACACUCGCAAAUCUACAAAAUACCGGUUUUUGGCAUUUCAGCUUUUCGACUUUUGCCGAUCCAGACUAAGAAAGAGGGUGUUAGUUACACACCUGUUUGCGAUGAUAUGCUGACGAGAUCCACACACGAACUGCCUACAAUUGGAUUACUAACACGUUAAUCUAACUAUUCAAAUACGAACUACGUAUUAACCCCUUACAAUAUUCGGCCAACCACACCUACAGAUCAUAGUAAGCUUAUAAGAAAUCAAUAAGCAACUUAUUAACAAUUUUUUGUCAAUGUUUACCACAUAAUCAUAAUUUCACUGCAAGCUGUCUUCCUGAGCAACAGUUACUAAAUCAUUUAUAACUGGAGCUACGAAACUCCAAAUCAAGUGCCAUUAAUUUUCCCUGAAAAUAGACUCAUAUAUCUUAUAUCCAUAAAAUUUUCAGAAUUUUUGGUUUGGCCAAUCAAUACCAGAUUUUUCUUAAAGUUUCCCAUGUUUCACUAUUUGACUAAUCUGACCACUCUUCAUUACGAAUCAAAUUUCUCAUUGUACAGAAUUCAAAAUAUGUUCUAGUUUAUUUCAUUUGAAACUAGACUCAUUAAGCUUUAAUUACAUAAUUUAUUCACCGUCUAACUCAUCUCUCACAAUCUAUGGUGAUUUUCCAAAGUCACGUUACUGCUGCUGUCCCAAGCAGAUUUAUUACCAAAUCACUCUUUCACACAUAACUUGCAUGCAUGUUAUUUAAACAUGUAUAUCACCAAUCAAUCAUCACAUAUCUAUGAUUUUACUUAAGUAUAAUCUCCAUUUCAUCAUUUUAAAGCACAACAUGUUAGCCGAUUUUUCCCUUUAACAUUUAAGGCACAUGCAUGCUCAUUUGUUUGGCUCAACUUCACCUAUUUUCCAUUUUUCAUCAAAAGAACAUGAAACAACAACCAUUUCCUUCAUUUUAAUUCAUGACUAAAUGCUCACAACACAACUAAAAACCAAAAUAUGCUUCAAGAGUUAAGGUAGAAUCAAGAAGAACUCAUGAACAUCAAAUAGAAGCAAACUACCAUGAACUUACCUUUAAUUUUCUUCCCCAAGUGACCGAACAUUCAAGAGCUUUCUCCUCUCCUUUCUCUUCUCUAACUUUAGGCUAUGAUGAACAAAGAUGGACAAAACUUUGUUCUUUUCACCCCUUUUUCUUUUAAUAAAAUUUCAUAUUUCAUCCAUUUAAUUCUUUAAUACAAAAGACAUGAAAUUCCAAUCAUGGAACAUUUACCUAACCCAUUAUCAUGAAACAUUUACCUAACCCAUUAUCAUGGAACAUUUACCUAACCCAUUGUCAUGGAACAUUUACCUAACCCAUUAUCAAUUUGUAUCAAUUUGUACCAUAAAUUAUGGAUAUCAAGUGCACAUUUUGUCUACAACAACAUGAUGGCUGGCCACUUCAUGUAAAAUGGGAGGUUUGUCAUGCAAAUCCUCCUAUUUUACACUCCUAUUUAUUUGGCCACUUCAAUUUAGCCUAUAGCAUUUUCAAACAUUUUCACAUAGGUUCUAUUUCAUAAUUUCACCCCCUUUUUCUUAUGGAACAAAAAUUAACUAAAAUUGACGGGUUCUAUCUUAAGCUUGGGCCUUCUAGAGGCCCACUAACAUAAUUAAAUCUAUGCCAACAUUCACAGAAUUCCCGAAAAUUGGGGCGUUACAUAGUGAAUUAUCUCUCUGAGUUAAGCUGUAAAUAUAAAAAAAUCAAAUCGCGUAAACAACUCAAUUAUGUUUUUCUUAUUUCAAAUAUAUAUUCAUAUAUAAUCUUUUAUGUUAAAACUUAUAGCAAAUAAUUACAAAUAAAAUAAGUUAAACAAAAUAAAGUGCUAGCUCUAGUGGUCACUGAAAGUGGAACGAGAACAAAUAAAAACUUUAAUUACUACAUGUAAUUAAAUAACAUGUGCCUUAGUAAAGAAAAACUUUGCUAACUAUGAGGUAUGCUAUUGUGGCUGCUCACCUCAUCUUUUAAUUAGGGUGAGCAAAAUUUGUUUUAAUUUGAAAAAUUAGAUAAAAAAAUUCAAAUUUUAAAUUAAAUAGUUUGAGUUAUUCAAGUUAUUCAGAUCAAUUCGAAUAAAAAAUAAAAUUGUUCAGUUCAACUUGAAUAUGAAUUACACAAUUCAAGUUAUUCGAAAAUUCGAAUAAGAAAAGACAAAACUACGUCGUUUUGAUAAAUGUUUAUCCAUUAAGUUAAAAGUUAAAAAUCAUUAUGUUGUUUAUGUAGUUAAAUAAUCUUCUACUUCGUCUACUAGUUAAACAAUCGGUCUAUAUAAACGCAACAUUGAGUAUAAAUAAUAGAAUUCGUUAACUCAUCUCGAAAUUUUUUCAUUCGAUUCGAUUUGAAAAAAAAUUCAAAUUUAGUUCAGUUGCUAAAAUAAGAUUCACCAACUCGACUAACUCGAAAUUUUUUUACUUGAUUUGACUCAACUUGAUCGAAUACUCACCCCCUACUCUUAACCAUGUCAUUUGAGGUUUGAUUCCCGCUUAUAAGAAUGAAACACAUUUCAUGAUUAACCAUUUAUCUCUUUAAAAAACACUCGUAAUAAAUAAAUUAAUCAUUAUUAUCGACAAUAAAUACCCUAUUUAUGAAAACAAACUCGAGCCUUGAUAAAGAAUUAAAGUGAUUGAGUAUACUGUGGUUCAAAUGAAAGACAAUUGCAGAAGCAAAGCCUUUGUGUUUGGGCUGCCUUAAUUGUUUCUUAGGAAAGCAGAAAUGUAUAUACAUGUGUGUGAUAGAGGGCAUGUCAUUGAAAAAGAUAUAUUAUAGCACCCAAAGGCAUCCCACGCAUUUCACAAGUAUUGAUAUCAUUGUGGAGCGCACAAGUGUCGUUUUAGUUUUUACUCAUCAAUAAAUUUACAUGAUAUUAUAAAUAUGAUAAUAUAUUUAUUUUAAAAGAUUUUAAAAAUAAUAAUAUUUAAUAUUUAACUUAACGGAUUUAAUUAUUAUUAUUUAGAUAAAAUUAAAAUUUUAAAAUUUUAAAAAAUAUAAUAAUUAAAAAUAACAUAUCUUUCGAGUUAAAUGAGACCAUUUGGGUUUAACAAAUUUGUAAAAAUAAUUUAGUUUAAUUAAUAAAUUUAUAUAAAAUUUAUAUUUUGUUCAACACGUUGCAUCUUUGAAUUUAGAUAAAAACAAUAGAAAAAUUAGAAUAUAAUUCAACUUGAUUCAAUUCAUAAAUACAAUUACUUUAUUGUACUAUUUUUUGGAUAUGGAUUAGUUGUGAAAUGUAACCAUUUAUAUGAAAAUAUUAGUUUGCAGGAAGAGAGUGUGGAUAAUCAAAUUAAUUAGUUAGAUAACCUAUGGGUGCUAAUUAAAUUAUAAUCCAAGGAUUUUGAUUAAUUUGUGCAAAAAUUAAAUCAAAUGUUAAGACAACGAGUUUGAUGUUAAUCUUGCACCUAAUUUCUCUUUUCAUUUCUUAUUUUCCACUCCAAUAUUUUGCUUCUUUUUUCCAUUAAGCUUUAUUUUGAGUUUUCUUCUUUUAAUUAAUUUUUUUAAAAAAAUUAUAAAAGUUAAUUUAAAUAUAUUAAUUAGUUAUUGGGGUAGUGACAAAUGACCGGUGCUUAAGUCUUUAUUAACAUAAGGAAUAAAUUAAAAAAAUUUCAUUUAUAUCUAUUUUAUUUUAGUACAAUACAUUAAACACUCAAAUAUUUAUUACAUGCAUUCAAAUUCAACUAAACACUUAUUUCUUUUGAACAAUCUCAUUUUUUAUCAUAUCUGCUCUUUUUGACACAAUGCCUAAAACUACUCAAAGUCCAUAAUAAGAGGAUAAUGCGCUUCUGCACACUCAAAACCACGUCUUUCUACAUUAACUACAAUACUCAUGCCAAUCAAACUAAAACUCAACCGGCAAUAUAACUAAUCACUUAAGAAGGUGCAAAUAAAAAAAUUCCCUAGUUUAGAUCUCAAUCGUUUUUAAACUUUUUUUUAUUUACAUGUGCUAUUUGUAUAGUAUUAAAGCAUUAAACAAUUUCUUAAACCAUAUAGAAACAUUCAAUAAUAUUUAAAUUAAUUGUGAAUGGAAUUGGAUAAUAGAUUUGUACAAGUCUAGGGAUCAGUCUCAAAACAGGUGGAGUCCACUCUCCACUCUUUGAUUUUGGUUUAAGCUUUUAGAUCAUGAUAAUCAGAUGAAAGUAAAAUUUAUUUAUGUUUAAUACAUGGUGAAUAUGUAUAUGAAUCUAUUAAAGAAAUUUUUGAAAACCUUAAAAUUUUGAUGUAAAUGAGAUAUUUAUAUUCAUAAGUUAUUUGAGUUUGAUUAAAAACACUCAAACUCGAUUGAUAAUUAUUGAGACGAGUUCGAGCAUGUCAACUCUCAAGAUAUUUGUCGAAUUGAAUUUGAGCACUGUAAUACUUGAUUUGAAUAACUUGUGAACUUAACCAAACUUUUUAUUUGAAUAUCUUUUAUAUUAUAAAGUUACAAUCUUACCCUUAAGUAUGAACAAGCUUGAUUGAGCUUUAAUUCAAGAAUGAGUAUGGAAAUUGAUAAAUGAGCUUAUUCGAGUUUGAUUAUGUCUUGAAUUGAGCUUGAAUAUAAAAUUCGACAUUCGAUGGAGCUCAAGUCGAGUAUUGAGACCCAAAUUUUUAGUUGAGCUUGAGCUUGUCAAUAUUAAGGUUUAACUCAACUCGAUUACACCCUUAAGCGUGGUCAGACAAUAGGUAAAGACAUUGGCUCCUCUUGAUUAAAUGAUAUAUAUACUAUUUUUUCUAGUCUCAUUUAAAAUUAAUAUUGCAAUUUAAUCCUUUUUAACCUUUUACUCAAAUGGAAAAAAAUAUUAAGUCAAUUUAAAUAAUUUUACCCCAAAAUUUAUAGUUUUAACCCUUGAAUUUUUAAAAAUUUUCUCAAUCUUCCAACACAAAAUUCCUAGGUUUGCCAUUUCUCUUAACCCUAGACCGCUAACUAAUUAUACUCUUCAUAAGACAUUAUACGUAUUAUUCCACAUGAACAUAUAAAUUUUAAAAAACUAUAAUAAUAUUGGUGUCAACUAAACUUAUAACCCAUAAACUUUGUUAGUGACAAUUACACUGUUCAUAUACAAUUCUAGUUGCAACUCAAUUUGCCAUAUUUGAACGGAACCUUUUGAUUAAAAAAAACUUUGAAUUUUUUAAUGCGCAUACUUGGAGGAUUUCUAGCAAUACUAUAUUGAAUUAAACUGUGAAUAAAAUCAAGCCAAGCAAAGAUUCUAUGAAUACUUUCAAGGGUCAAAGUUUACUUAUUUAAAGAGAUUUGAAUUCUAAAAAAAUAUCCGCUAAUUCUAUUUCAUAUUAAAGAUUUUAUCGAGCCAACUUUAAAGAGAUAGAUCUUCACGUCAAUUAUAAUGGUCGUUAUAAUUUUAUGUCAAGAUUGAAAACGAUUAUUUUGUUCGUGUAAGGAACUUACUUUAAUAAAUAUUUUAUUGUAAAUCAACGAUUUUCUAACUUUUCUAGGGAAAAAGUAUCGGUGAUUGAGUUGAAAAUAAAUCAUAUUAUGUACAAAUUAAUUUAUAAUGAAUUACUCUUUAAUUUCCAUAACUAUAAUUUUUUUUCGGAACUGUAUAACCAAAUUACGGUAUCCUAUUGAAAAGGAUACGGAGAAGUGUCCCAAAGCAUUAGAAAACUUCUCAAGUAGAAAUGUGAAUAAGAAAGGCUACCAUAUAUGGUCCUUUUUCCUUGAAUGAUUGUUAAGCAAAUGCUUUCAUUAUUUUUAUUGUUAUUUUCACAAACAAGUAUCAUCCCCAUCUCAUUCAAUCCACAAUAAUAAAGACAAUUAAGGGUGAGUGUGAUCGAAUUGAGUGAAAAAUUUUGAGUUAAUUGAAUUGACGAGUCCUAUUUUAUCAUUCUAGCUCGAUUUAAAAUUUUUUCGAAAUGAAAUUUGAGUUAAGUCGAAUCGAAUGAAAUGUUCGAGUUAAAUUAAAACAUUAAACAUGUCGAAUUAAAAUAUUGUUACAAUAUAACUAAUUCAAUGUUGAAGCACAUAAAUUUGAAACCAUAUAUAUUUGAAAACUUUUUCAAAGAAAAAUAAAAAAUUACUUUAGUAUGAUAAACUUAAAAAAUUAAUUAAUUAAUUUAAGUUUCAAAAAUUAUUAUUCUAGAAAAUUUAUUUUUUAACUUUUUUAUAUAUUUUUUAGAAUUUUUUUCUGAAAUUUUUAUAAUUUUUUAAAAAAUAUAAAUUUUGGAAUUUUUAUAAAUAUUUUAAAAUUUUAAAAUUAUUUUGAAUUAUUUUAUAAUUUUUGUUAAAGAGAGAGACCAAUUUACUUAUUUUCAAACUUGACAAUGACCAAAAGGGUAUUUAUGCCAAUCUAUUAUUCAAAUUAUUCGAAUUGUAAAAUUCAACUCGACUUGAAUAACUCGAUUCAAUUAACUCAAAAUUCAAAAGAAAAUUUAAUUUUUUCAAAUCAAAUAAAAUUUUACCCACCCCUAAAACACCCAUAUCUAAUCCUAUAUAUGGUUUUCAAAUAUUUUCUUUUAAUCAUGGUUAGUUUUUUUGUUAAUUUUCUAUUCCUACUUUUUACCUUAAACUUCACAUCCAUUUAAUCACCAACAAUUGGUAUAACCCCACACGUUGUUUUCUUUCUGUUUAUAUCUUACAACUUACAACCAAAACAUCCACACUACACACACAUAUAUAUAUUCAUUCCAAUCUGCUAAAUUGGUAUCCAAAACUACUCAACUUUCUCUCUGAAUUCCUACAAGUUAGGUUAGUGUUUUCCAUUUGCAUUUUUGUGUUAAAAGUUGUUUCUCUUGAGAGUUCUAAAUGCAUGUCUAUGUUUUGAAAUGGGGUUUACUUUUUGUCUUUUGUUCAUAAUGUAAAUUUAUUGGAUAUUUUGCUGUUUAUCUGCAAUGUAAUUGCCAAUGAUUUGAUUCUUGUAGGAGUUUGGAGAGUGGUCACCGCUGAAGCAAAACAAUUUUCUUGGGGGAAAAGAAAAUGGAGUUUUCCAUGAUUUUUAUGAUUAGCUUCUCUGUAUUGAUUUUGUGCUCCUCACUGGCAUAUGGUCAAGUUGCAAUGAGCACAAGCCCGACACCGUCACCCUCACCAGCACCGGCACCGACACCGGCAUACACAAAUAUCAAAGACUUACUCUCUGUGGCAGGUCCAUAUCACAAGUUCCUGGGCUACCUCGAGUCGACUAAAUUAAUCGACACGUUCCAAAUCCAAGCCAACAACACGGUUGAAGGCAUUACGAUUUUCGUACCGAAAGACAGCGCAUUCAAGGCUCUUAAGAAGCCUUCAUUGUCAAAUCUAACUGAUGAUCAGUUCAAAUCAGUGCUCCUUUACCAUGCCUUGCCACGAUACUAUGCCCUUGCGGACUUCAAUGACCUAAGUGAGAAAGGCCUUAUUAGUACACUUGCUGGUGGCCAAUACACUUUGCAAUUCAACGAUGAGUCUGGUACCGUCCGCCUCGAUUCCGGAUGGAGCAAAACAAAAGUCACUAGCGCAGUACAUACGUCCAAGCCAGUCGCAGUCUAUCAAAUCGAUAAGGUCCUUCUUCCGGAGGCCAUUUUCGGGACCGACAUACCUCCGACACCUGCACCUGCCCCGGCUCUUGGUAUUGGCCCAUCAGCUGACACUCCAUCAGCAGCAAAAUCCGAAGAAACUGGUUCCUCAUCAAAGCCUUCGUUUUCGGGUUCAUCAUCUCCUAGGAUCAUGAUGAACUCGGGCAUUUGGACUCAGCUGGUUUUGGCAUUCUUAGGUGGAUGGCUGGUUCUCUUUUUCUGAGACGUUAUAAUUUUAUGUUGAAAGGGGGGCACAUAUGGGGUUCUCAAUUUUCUGUGAUUUUUAGACCCCAUUUUCUUUCAUAUAUAUGUUACUGUGUGUUAUUAUAAAAAGAAUGUUAUUGUGUGUUAAGAAUAUGGUUGUGUUAUAAUUACCAUUUCAAUUUUAAUGGAGUUUUGCCUUAAAUCUCUGUUUUUCACUUGUUCAUACUUGUUUCUAAGUUUGGCCCCAUCUAUAACUAUUUGGCGAGUGAGAGCUUAGGAAAGAAAACUCCUAGCAGGAGGCGAAGCAGAAAAAACUUUUAGAAAAUUAAAUUAUCAAUUUUUUUUUAAGGUUAAAAUGUAACC
RNAcentral lists this long non-coding RNA (29623 nucleotides) under Gossypium barbadense (sea-island cotton). RNAcentral describes it as "long non-coding RNA (GBAR_LNC006866)". Lineage: Eukaryota; Viridiplantae; Streptophyta; Magnoliopsida; Malvales; Malvaceae. The record is from RNAcentral.